AGCUGUAUGGUGUAGUUUUUGGAAUGCUAGACUAGAAUUCCAAGAGAUCAGGGUUCGAAUCCCUGCUCAGCCA
Phrynosoma platyrhinos (Desert horned lizard) is the source of this 73-nucleotide non-coding RNA. The record is from the annotation of a GenBank genome assembly. Lineage: Eukaryota; Metazoa; Chordata; Lepidosauria; Squamata; Phrynosomatidae.